UUUUGGUCUAUCCCCAUGCGGACUACGCAUUCAUAGUGGCACUACUUAUGAUUGUUAGCGAGAUGAAACAUUAUUUUGACGAAAUGGUGUAUUUGGCCGCCGGAAUGGCACCACUUGGAGUUGGUAUGAAUUAAAGGAGCUCCCAAGUAAUUUUACUCAAUUAUGGACCUAUUUAAAAUUAAAUCAUGGGCUUGAUUUCUGUUAUAGAAUAGAUAGGGUUUGGUUUUCAUUUUCAGAGGAAUGUUUAUUUCCACCUCAUUGCAUGAAUUUGAGAGAACAAAAAAGCGUUAACAAAGUCUGGUUGGAUGGAUGAUGCCAAAUAACAUUUGCAUCUUCAAUGAGCCACGACCAUCAAAGAGGUUCCUUGCUACACUCUCUUGAGCACGAACACUCUGUCAUGCAAAUUCCCUAAUCAAAUCAUCUAUCUUCUUUGUGGGUAGGUCUUGUAUCAUACAAGCAUAGUUUUAAAUUGCGAUCGCGGUGGUGGUUUCUAGUUACAUUGUAGUGAGUCAGAAAACUUUUAUAUUACAAGUAAUUGUAGGAAAAUAUGAAAAAUAUGACUGAUGCGAUCAUAAUUGUGAUUGUAAUUGUUGCAUUGUGAUGAGUUAAUAUAUUUUGACAUUAGGACCGCAAUUAUGAUUGUAGAACCCCAUUUAAAACCAUGCAUACAAGUAUCAGCAUUGUAAGUCACAAUGUAAUUUAAAUGAUUUAUUAAUUUUUGGAUAGUGUCGCAACCUACCAUUCGGCAGGAGGGCGACACGAGGGCUCACGGGUGCGUCUUCCAUGGGAGGAAGAUGCGCGGAGUCGCCACCAAUGUUUAUUCGAGAAAAACGUCGGAAAAAUCGAAAAGAUGUGAUUUACGAACUUUAAGUGUGAAAGGUUCCAGAGUUGUAUUUACGCAUGGGGAAGGUAUUAGCACCCCACGCGUCCGUCACAAAGGACGAUAGCCUUUAAUCAAGUGUGCAAAGAUGUCUUCAAAUUGUUUUAUUUUCCCUUUUUUACGUUUUUAUGUCUUUUUAUGCCUUUUUGUAUUUUUUAUCUUUUUGUGGUCGACAAGGGUGUUUUCCUUACUCCUACGUAUUCCUCAAUUGUGAUAAGAAAAUCAGGCCUACGUAAUUCUUUCAAAAGGGGCGAAUCAAGUGAUUCUUUUUACUUGGAAGGGGUCAUUUAAGGCGUUGGACCUUAAAAUGAUCCAUUUUACUUGGUGAGAAAGUUAAGGCGUUGGACCUCUAACCAUCUCACGAGGUCGACAAAAGUGGGGCUUUUGCUCCUUCGUAUCCUCCAUCGAAGAGGAAAUCAGACUUACGUAGUUCUCGCAAAAGCGGUAAAGUUACAUGUUGAUUUUAUGCUUUUGAACGGUCCAUGUUAACCGAUAAAAGCAAAGAGGAUCGUUUAAGGCGUUGGACCUUAAAACGAUUUUUAGUGAUUUUUUGCGGACAAAGCUUGAUUUGUGAGUUGAUUUUAACCUUAGUUUCACUUUGGUUAUUAGUCAAUUGAUCCAAGAAAACUUCCAAAGAAAAACGCCCGAUUGAAUUUUUUUUAUUAUUUUAUUCAAAGAUAUUUUGAUUAUUUUAUUAUUAUUUUUCAAUAUAUUUUGAUUAUUUUAUUAUUAUUUUGCUUUUUUUUUUGUUUAACCAAGAUUACAGCGUGAAUAAUCGGUUAGAUUUUGUUUUAACAGUGAUUAAAUGAGAUUACAACGCAAAUGAUCAGUUGAAAUUCAUUUUAUCAUUUAUUAGGUGAGAAAACGACUUAAAUAAACAGUUAAAGUAUGUUAAAAACAGAAGAAAAGAAAACUGAAAGUAAGUGAAAUUAAAGUGAAAGUUGCUGAACACGGUAUAUUAAAGUGAAAUUAAAGAAGGGCAUAGACUCGAAUUGCUAUUUACACUCCUAUCUUGAUAAGUUCACCCCCCAUUUUUGUGUUUUUGGCUGUUUUCUUUUCGGAAUGUUGCGAAACUUUACGGAUUAUGCAACAAUACUCUUUUUGACUUCUGGAAUGUUGCGGAACUUUACGGAUUGCGCAACAAUGUUUCUUUUUUACUUCCAGAAUUUUGCGGAACUUUACGGAUUGCCUAACGAUGGGGGUUAAGUACCUCGAGGCGAUCAAGCGAAGGUUGCAUGCCACCAAAUAAUGGUCCCCAUACAAAAUUAGGAUAUGAGAGAUAGAUAUUAAAUUGCAUCUAAAUUGUGGAAUGUCUAAAACAUCAAGAAAUUUAUGCCUUUUUUGAGAUUCGGGUAUCCUGUUUCCUUAACCGUAGUCACAUCAAAAGCAACUAGGCACUAUGAUAUGUAGUGGUUCUUUUCAAGGUUUCGCAUUAAUUGAAUAUAUACAUUACCAAUCAUGUGAUUGAGAUGUUCACUAUCAUUGUUCGAGUGAGAUCAAGAAAGGGAUGUGAAUUUCAGCUUAAUUCAAAUCUUAAAAUCUAACUCAGAAUGCCGAUUGCUCCUUCCAUAUAUUAUCUUUAGUUAAUAUUAAACUUGUUUUCAUCGCAUAGGGCCAGCUGGUUAUAAUCGCACCCUUCAACAGUUGCAUUCUUCUGCUAGUAGUUGUCAGCCCGUGUAAAGCGCGCUCCCCCGAACAGAUUUCUGUGUUUCAAAAAGUUUUGCAUAUGUUCUAGUUUGCGUACGAAAAUUUUUCUUGAAAACUCAUUUGGUUACACCCAAAAGUAUGUUUGCAUAUGAAAAUUUUAUUUAAAAACUCGGUCUUCUAGAAGUAACACAGUAGUUAUUUAUUAAACUUAAGUUUACAAACUUUAAUUCAAAUAUAUGCAAUAAAGCAAUGGAGAUUUUUAGAGUGGUCUAGGAGGUCAAAGUCAGAAGACAAAGGGAAACAACGCCUCAUAUAUAAUGGCAAACCCUCUUAGUUUUUCUAAAAGUUUGACAUUUUUUUCUCUCUGUUAUCUGAGUAAUAUAUUGCCUUUAUUUUGGAAUGACUUAUAACUAAUUAUAAAACAAUAAGAAUAUUAAACAUAGGUUAUAUCUAUAAAUCGUUUACCAUAUAUUUUUAGGUAGGGAAAUAAGGCAUAUUGAAUCUGUGAGUUUUUUGGAUCUCUAAACAUAAUAUAUGACCAAAAUUAGAUACUGUCUACGGAAGAUUAGCGAUACCUUGAGUUUUGUUGGGUUACUGUGAAUUAAGCUUAUCUGAACUAUGAAUACAUAAAGCUACAAUUUUUUUCAUCCUUUAAGAGAAAUGCAUAAUGCGGAGCCAGUGGAAGGGGAAUAAUCUUCAAGGCAUGCGCACUUCAGAAGAUUGAUUUUAUCCCUCCAAGUUAUACCUAGAAUAAAGUUAAAUAUUAAAAAUUAAAAUAUUACAUCCUUUAGAAGUAAAUUUUCCUUUGAUAAUAAAUUAGACAUAAAUUGAUACUUGCACAACUCGUGAGACUCGACAACGCUUCUAUUUUUAUUUAUAGCGAACAAUACUUAUAUUUAGUAGUACUAAUUAUACUUCACUCGAUCAGUGAACUUGUCAUCCGAAGGUCAUAAAAAUUGAAUCUUUUUAUACCCCUUAAAAUCCUUUCUCAAAAGAGUAUUUGGUUCAAAAGAUAUAAUACAUGUAUAAUAAUUCUUACAACAAUUUAUACAACAUGAUUUUUGUGUCUAUAUUUCUAUUCUAUCAUUUAUCAUCUUUCAAAAUUUUCUCUCUCCUUUCACUUAUCUCUCUUUAUUGUAAGAUUUAUUAUACAAAUUAUUGUACAAAUAUCAUUUCUUUUCGUUCAAUUAGGCAAAAUGACAUCAAGGUAAAUUGCUUGGGUAUAGGCCGAAUAAGGUCAAGAGAGCAAGACUAAAACUUCCCACACUUUCAUCAUUGUUUUCUGCUACACCGCAUUGCAUUUCAGAAAUUCAAUCAGGAAUGCAAAAUCUGGACGUAAUAGUGGAAGUACAGGAAACAACAUUCAAGAAUAAGUUUUAUUCAUAAGAUCCAAAAAGUACACGCAACUUUUCAAGUUACAAGUUUACACUAGCUUAAGAGGGAGAUUAAUUUUUAAUAUAUAUAUAUAUAUAUAUAUAUAUAUAUAUAUAUAUAUAUAUAUAUAUAUAUAUAUAUAUAUAGGAUUAAGUGAGAUUCGGGAGAUACACAAGCUAUAUAUGAGCUUAAACAACCAAAUUAGCUCAAAAGUUAAAUUGUUUUUUACUCGGAAAUUGCUGAGUGGGAUCUGAAAAGUACAAUUAUUAUUUAAAUGAACUUUAGUGAAUAAUAAUUAAUAGAGAAAAUGAUUUUUAUACACCACAUUUUUUAAGGAAAAUAAUUUUUGUUCUUAUUUUUAGUCAAAUGUUGUUAAGGUCUUUAUUCAUUCAUACCAAUAAAUUUGGUCUUUUAACUUUAUUUCAGAAAACAUGUAGAUUUAGUUCAUCCAAUUUUAAGAAUUUAUCAUAGUUUUUUAAAUUAAGAGUUACUAAAUCCGCGUGUAUUUUAAAGUUUGAAGAAAAUCAAAUUUAUUAAGAUGAAAAUAAAAGACUAGAUCACAUUUGACUAAAAGUAUACGAACUAAAAAGUAUUUUAUUUUCUUUAUUUAAAUACUUAUUGUUUCUAUUUAUAUGUCUUCUUAUCACAUCAUAUAAUUUAUUGUACCACAAUCUAUUUGUUUUAUCUCUCCUAAUAUGUGUUGAAUAACAUUUGAGGUAUCUAAAAAUCAUUUUUGUAAAUAAUAAUGACUAAGGUGGCUCUUUUGUAACAAAUUAGAGAAAAAUUAUAUUUGAAAAUUCAAUCUUUUCAAAUACUUAAUCAACACUUAUCAAUCUUUUCUAUCUCUCUUCUUAUCUCAUUAUAUAUAUAUAUAUAAUACUUAUAUUUUUUUCUCUCUCUUAUAGGUGUCACAUGGUAUUUUAGGUGUUCAAGCAUCAUUUUUCUGUAAAAAAAUGGAUAAUAGUUAAAGCACAUGAUGGUCCGGCAAUGGAAGUGAUUAAUUGAAAAGAUUGAUUGUAUGGUUGAGGGCGAUUUUAUGAGGAAUAUAAAAGUGAAAAUUAUAUAAAGAAGAAAAGUGAAUGUGUUUAGUCGUAGUUAAUGAAGUAUAAAAUGUAUCCUAUGAAAUAGAAAUAUUUCAUCCCAAAAAUGUGAAUGUGUAUGUUGUUUUUAGUUUGAUGCCUCAAAAGUUAUCAAAGCACAAUAAAGACCAUGUGUGUGUUUGGAUGAGAGUUGGUAAAAUUAAUUUUGUAAAAUUAAUUUUGAAGUGAUGUAAUUUAUAUUUGGAUAUUUUAUUAUAUAAUCAAGUAAGGAUUAAAAUUCAGUACAAAAUUUUAGAUUCAACGCAAAAGUUAAUGAAAGUUGUUUUAAUCCAGAAUCAAUUUUGAAUUUUUCUCUAAUGUAAAAUCAAACAUGUAAAAAUAUAUCAAAAAUUCAUUAUAAACUCAAAAUCAUUUUUGAACACCAAACCAAAUACCUUUAGUUGUCAAAAAACAUUGGCUCGUUUACAUAGUUGAAAAUAGAGGUAUUCACUAUGAGGGUUGAUUCGAUUUUUAGAUAAAAGGUGAUUCAAACGAAGUAUAAAACAAAGAUACAGUUUGGUUUAGUUUGAUUUAAAUAUAACAUCAAAUUCAAACUAAAUUAAACCAAUUUUUACAGUUUGAUUUAGUAUGGUUUCACUUUUUUUAAUAUAUUAUCAUAGUUUAGAUUUAUAAAUUAAACUUGUGAUUAUUAUAUAUUAUAUAUGCUAUAUUAUUUAAAAAAUGAUUUUUAUUUUAUUGAAUUUUAUUUAACACAUUUUAGUUAUAAGAUACUAUUUUCUCUUCUAUUUAGCAAUGAAAUUACCAACUCUUUUUUAAUAACAAUAAUUUGUAUAUCACUUAAUAUUUAACACUGCUUUUUAACAAUAUUAGUACAUCUUUUUUUUAACAUGUAAAAAUAAUAUAUAUAUAUAUAUAUAUAUAUAUAUAUAUAUAUAUAUAUAUAUAUAUAUAUAUAUAUAUAUCUUGAUUAAAAUACAAAGAAAAAUAAUAUAUAAAUUAUUUAAUACUUAUUCUUAUUUAUCACAAUAAAAAUUAAUAUAAUUAUAAUAUGCAGUUUGUUUGAUUUUUUAUUACAAGAUCUAAAAAUUAAAUCAAAAUGUAAAAAAUAUGUAAUUUUUUGGUUUUUUUUAUUUUUGCAGUUUUUUUAUGUAAGCAAUUUUGGGUUUAUUUGAAUCGAUUUGGUGAUUUAUAAGCAAUUUAAUUCGGUUUAAAAUACUCUGGUUGAAGACAAUUAGUUUCGUCACAGUAGUAGGUACACCAUUACCGAUUAACCCGCAAUUAGGUUGCUACACAGUAAAAGAAAGGAGGCAUGCAUGUGAACUUUUUUAACAACUUUGCUUUCUUCUUUAUUUCAUUCAAUUUUGUUCUCACAUUUUAAUUCAUUCUCUUUCCUAACAACCUAAAACAAUGGGAACGUCGGUGUCGCUAUGUGUUUGAGAUUGACCACUCGUACUCGUGUUUAACGCGUGUAUCUAUAGAUAAUGAUUGGUUUUUUACUUUUUACGCGGGUAUGUAUGCUCCUUUACUUGGUCAGUAUAUUUCUAAGAACAUAAUGAUUGGUUUUUUUACUUUUACACGUAUAUAUAUGUACGGAAUAAUGAACAUGCUUUAUAAACUAGCAUAUAAAUUAAACCACAAGAGACUCCGUUUCGUUCCAUAACAUAUCUCCCUCUCCAAAUGGCAUUCCCAGUUAUCAGCAGUGACUACUGUGCUCCUUACGCUAUCAAUCUUCAAAUCAAUACAAAAACAGGUUUCACGUACGACGCAAACAAUGCCUGUCGCUUUUAUAUCGAAGAUAAAUUAUUCACACUUCACAAGCGACGUGUCUUGUGUGAUAAUCAAGGAAACCCCAUUGUCACUCUAUACAAGAAGGUUUGGCUACUGAGGCAUCUUAUACUCAUUGAUUUCCUUCAAUAAGUUAGUUAGUUAAUUAGGUUUAUUGAUUCGAUAUUCCCAGCAAAAUCUUUUUAAAAUUUUCGUUUUAGCUACUAAAUUAUCCAUCUAUAUUCUUCUACUUAUUGAUUUCCCUCAACUAAUUAGUUCAUUAACUGUAUUAAUUCAAUAUUUCCAGCAAUUUUUUUAUAUAAGCUACUAAAUUAUCCAUAUAUAUUGUUAUUAUUCUUAAUUUUUUUUAUGUAGAGAAUGACAUUGCAUGGGCGAUGCCAAGUUUUUAGGGGUUAUAAAAGCAAAGAUUUCUCUCAAUUGCUCUUUUCAGUGAAGAGAUCAUCAAUGAUACCGAGUGGGAUGGUUAACUUAGAGGUCUUCCUCGCUAACAACCAAAGAGAAAGUGCCUGUGACUUUAGAGUCAACGUUUAAUUUGUAGAGAUAAAAGAUCAUGCACUGUUUAUGCCGGUGAAUCUCCUAGAAUUGUUGCCACGGUAUGUACUGCGUUAAUUCUUGUGUGUUUUAUAUAUACACAAGCACACAAUACACAUAAACUUAACUGCCUUUUUGAUAAAUCUGAAUGAAUAUAAUUAGUACACUGCAUCUGUUUAAUUUCUUUCUCUCUCUCGCAGAUGGAGAAUAAUGGCGGCUUCAAUGUUUUGGUCGAUCCCUAUGUGGACUACGCAUUCAUAGUGGCACUACUUAUGAUUGUUAGCGAGAUGAAACAUUAUUUUGAUGAAAUGGUGAAUUUGGCCGCCCGAAUGACAAUUGCAUUGGGUAGUAGUAUGACUUAACAGAGCUCCAAAACAAUUUUACUCAAUUAUGGACCUAAUUAAAAUUAAAUCAUGGGCUUGAUUUCUGUUAGAAUAGAUAGGGUUUGACUUUUGUUUUUAGAGGAAUGUUUAUUUCCACUUCAGUACCUUAGAUCUAAGUUUUGUUGUACCAGUACAAGUAUCAUUUCUUAAAACAAAUGCUUGAAAACAAUCUUUCUAAGGUAAUUAAAACUUGUCGGGUUAUAACCCUUACAUCAUCAUUUGCAUAUUAUCCAUCUUUCCUUUUAUGAAUUUCAAUAUAUAAUUUCCCACAAUUCGGUAGCUUUUUAGUUUCCAACGACAAAGAUGUAUAAAGGUUAUGUUAACAUUAGUAUAAGUUUUUAAACAGUAUAGGUUUUCAUACAGUGUAACUACCAUCGCGUUUCUUCUUAUGGAAUUAGCUUUAGAGCCACUGAUUUGCGAAAUUACUUGUUUCUUUGGAUUUUUUUUUUUACAAAGUUCCUAUUGACAAAACAAUUACAAUUUCACAAAGUAAUCAAAUAAGAAAACUAAUAUUUUAUUUAGAAGGGGUUAUAAAACCUAUGCAAAUCAAAGUAAUAUUAGUCUUUUUUUUAAACUCAAAUUUGGAAUGUUUGGAGUAAUUUUUAGAUUUAAUUUAAAAAAAUAAACUAAUUUUUAAAAUAUAAUUAAUUUUAAAUAAACUCAUUUUGAAAGUUUCAUAUCAUAUUAAAAUAAUUUAAGAGUGUUUUUUUUAUGAUAGUGACUACAAUGAUGAUGAUAAUGAUGUCAACAAUAACAAUUACGAUGAUAGUGGUGAUAGUAGUGGAGAUGACAUUAGUGGUGGUGACGAUGUCGAUGAUGGUAUCAGUCAAUGGUGUGGUGGAGACAUGGGCAAUGGUGAUAGAGAGGUCGUAUUGGUGGUGGUGGUAGUGGUAACAAUGUUAGUAACGAUGGUGGUUGUUGCGUUGUUGAUGAUGGUUGUAGUGGCAGCGCUAGUGAUAGAUGUAAUAUUGUUGGUAAUGAUUAUGGUGGUGUCAAUAACGGCAACGGUGACAUUGAUGGUGGUGGUGGGGAUAAUAAUGCUAGUGAUGAUGGUGAUGUCGGUGGUGACAAUGGAGGCAAUGACGAUAUUUUGUUUGGAAUGAGAGCGUUAAAGGAUAUUUUGUUGAUUAUAUUGAUAGAAGAGCUUGUGCUCUUAAAUAGAAUACAAGAUAAUCUAAAAAAAAAACUCCUAAAUUGUCUAUUCCUAUAAUUAAGGGUCAAUGAUUCCUGGUCAUGAAUACAAAAUAUGCAGUUAAUCAAAUAUCCUAAUUAUGGGAUUUAAAUCCUAUCUAUAAAAGGAAAUAAAAUAUAUAAUGGGUUUCUGACACUCCCCCUCUAGUUGGUGAGUGGAUGUUAUCCAUUCCGAACUUGCUAACAAUGGAUUGAAAUGUAGGUCCACUUAAUCCUUUUGUUAGAACAUCUGUUGGCUGAUUUGUUGGGGAUAGAAAUGUUGUACAAAUUGUCCCAUUAAGUGUUUGUCUACUUCAACAUGCUUGGUCCUAUCAUGUUGCAUUAGAUUAUGUGCAAUGUUUAUUGCCGACUUGUUAUCAUAGUAUAGUGUAAUAGGUCCACUCAAUCUUUAGGUCAUCCAAAAUUAUUUUCAGCCACAGAAGUUCACAAAUUCCUAAGGCCAUAGCCCAGAAUUCUGCUUCUGCACUUGACCAUGCAACAACGUCUUGUUUUUUGCUCCUCUAAGUUACUAAGUUUCCUCCAAGAAAAGUGUAGCGUUCGAAGGUGGAUCUUCUGUCAUCUAUAGAUCCAACAUAGUCAGCUUAUGUAUAGGCCUCCAAAGUCAUUUCCUCCCCUUUUUUAAAUAAAAAUCCCUUUCCAGGAGUACCUUUCAAGUACUGUAGAAUGCAGUAAACAACUCUAAGAUGAUUUUUUUUGGGAUUAUGCAUGAACUAACCACUCCUACUGCAUAAGCUAUGUCUGGUCUGGUAUGAGACAAAUAGAUUAAUUUUCCAACUAGUUUUUGAUAGGAUUCUCUGUCCACAGUUGCAUCUUCAACAUAUUCACUUAGCCUGUGACUCUACUCAAUAGGAGUUUCUAUUGGUUUGCAUCCCAAUUUAUCAGUUUCAGAUAAUAAAUCCAACACAUAAUUUUGUUGGGAGAUGAAAAUAACUUGACAAGAAUGUGCCACCUCAAGCCCAAUAAAGUAUUUUAAUCUGCCUAAAUCUUUAAUCUCAAACUCUCUUAUCAGACACCCUUUUAGGAUGUCUAUUUUUGCUUGGUCAUUCCCUGUUACAACUAUAAAAAAACUACGUACCCCAUUGCCCAGAGGCUCUUCGCUAUGCAAAUGUAUGGGGGAGGGAUGUUGUACGCAGCCUUACCCUUGCAUAUGCAAAGAGGCUGUUUCCGGAUUCGAACCCAUGACCAACAAGUCACCAAGGCACAACUUUACCGCUGCACCAGGGCUCGCCCUCUAUUCCCUGUUACAACUAUAUCAUCCACAUAGACAAUUAGUGUAGUAACUCCCCCUAAAGCUGAAUGCUUAAUGAACAAAGCGAGAUCUCCUUGACUUCGUUUAUACCUCAUUGCCUUCAUCACCGUAGCAAACCUGCCAAUCCAAGCCCUAGGGAACUAUUUUAAUCCAUAGAGAGCCUUCCUUAGCUUACAACCUUUUUUUCUUUCUCAAAGUUAAACCUAGGUGGGACCUCCAUGUAAAUUUCCUCUUCAAGGUUGCCAUGUAGGAAAGCAUUCUUGACAUCAAGUUGCUACAAAUUCCAUCUAUAGUUAGCUACUAGAGAUAACAAUAUUCUAAUAGUGUUCAUUUUUGCAACAAGAGAAAAGGUUUAAAGGUAGUUAAUCCCAUAUGUUUGAUUAUACCCCUUAGCUACUAACCUUGCCUUAUACCUUUCUAGUGUCCCAUCUGCCUUAUAUUUAAUAGUGAAUUCCCAUUUACAGCCAACAUGUUUCUUUUCUUUAGCAAGUUCUACCAACUCCCAAGUUUCAUUUUUCUCUAGUGCAUCCAUUUCAACUUUCAUAGCUUCUCUCCACUCUUUGCUAUCCAAUGCUUCAUUAGCAGUUUUUGGGAUAGUGAUAGUGUUGAAAUGAGUAAGAAAACUUCUAUGAGUGUUGGAUAGUUUAUCAUAUGACAUGAAGUGAGGCAAUGGAUACCUUGGCCUCUGUGUACAUAUUCUAACACCCUUCCUUAUUUCAAUUGGAAAAUCCUCAACAUCAGUGGGCAUAUUCUGCUCCUCCAAAACAAUCCCAUCAGUUUCAAAUUCAGGGAGUAUAUUCUGCUCUUUCAAGACAGUCUCAUUAGUUUAAGUUUCAGGUAUUAGUUCAAAAUAUGGAACUUAGGCAGUUUGGAUAAUAGGUUUUGUCCUACACGUGUAAACUUGUAGUGGACAAGCAGCACUUGGAGUCUAUGUUUCGGUUGUCUUUGGACUCAUAGCAGGGGCAAGGGGAGUGUGUAUAGAACUGGAAGAAAUGUGUAUAGGACUUGACUCAUGUAUAUUGGAUUCACUUGGGGAGAUAAAUGAAAGAUUCUUGACCAGAUCAUUCUUAUCUUUCAUGCAUGAUUUAUCACCUUGAAGAUAAGGAAAAGAAACAUUUUCAACAAAAGUGACAUCAAUAGACACAAAGACCUUUUUUGUGGCAUGAUGAUAACACAUGUAUCCCUUUUGGGUAGGAGAGUAACCAACAAAUAUGCAUUUGAUAGCUCGGGGAUCAAGUUUUCCUUAAUAAGGAGAAUGAACAUGGACAGAGGACAUGCACCCAAAGAUUCUAGGAACAGGGUUAUUUGAAGUUUUGAAGUGUGGGUAAAAAUUGGAGAACAGUUGAAUGAGACUGUUGUUUUGAAGAGUCUGAGAGGGUAAACGAUUAAUCAAGUAGGCGGCUGCGAGGACAGCCUCACCCCAAUACUGUUUUGGAACAUUUGUGUGGAAUAAAGAUGCUCGAGUAACAACUAGAAGAUGCCUAUUUUUUUGGUCAACCACCCCAUUUUGUUGUGUGGUGUGGACACAUGAUGAUUCAUAAAUAAUUCCAUGUUCAUUGAAGAAGGAAGACAUUGUUUGGUUAUAAUAAUCUUUGACACUAUCAUAAUAGAAUCGUUUGAUGACUGUCCCAAACUAGUUUCUUAUCAUCUGAAAAAAAUUUGGAAUAUUUGACAGACUUCACUUUUCUGUUUCAAGAGAUGCACCCAGGAUACCCAAGUAUAAUCAUCAAUAAAAAUGACAAACAAGUAGGCCCCAGAUAUAUUUGGAAUGUUGGAUGGACCCCAAACAUUACUAUGUACCAAGGAAAAAGGAACUCGCAUUCUUUUAUUACUAAUAGGAAAGCUAACAUGUUUGUGUUUUGCAAAUUCACAAUUAUCCCAAUGAAACACUUCUAUGUCUAGUCCUUGAAACAAGCUGGGAAACAUAAUUUUUAGAGUACUAAAUGAAGGGUGACCUAAAUGAUAGUUACAUAACAAGAUGUCUUUAUUGUGGGAAGGAAGUGACUCUGAUAACAAAGACAAUGGAAGUUAACUCUUAGUGCUGCAUGUCCCACGACCUUACUCAAGAAGGUAGAACCCAUUUUCUUCCUUAACAAAUCCAAUCAUCUUCCCCAUUCCUUGAUCCUGAAAUUUGCAAAGUGUGGGAGAAGAUGUCACUAAACAUUGUAAGUUUAUGAAUAAAAAGAAAUUUGACAGAUAAUUUAGGCCCAUGUAAAACAUCUCUCAAAAUUAAAUUUUGACUUCGGAGAAUGUCUCCCUUUCCAGCAAUUGUAACAAAUGUGCCAUCUGCAGUUGCAAUUUUUUUAUUGUUGGGACAAGGUCUAUAUGAGAUGAAUUCAAUACAAGAAUGGGUCAUGUGAUUCGUAGCUCCAGAAUCAACAACCCAUGUCCCUUGUGCAGUAUAUUGUAGGACACUGAGAGCAUAGGCUUGGGAAGUACCUGAGAAUGCCAAGGAAGAACUACCUGUAUUUUUUAGUUUGACUAAAGUCUCUAGGAAUUCCUUCAAUUUUUUAAUUUCUUCUGUAUUAUAAUCUGUAAGGGGCUUGGAAGGAUUGUCUGCUGCAGCACCUGACUGAGCUAGGUGGGCUUGUGUUGGUUCUCCUCAUUGAGUACCUUUGGUGGUCCAAUUCCAGUUCUGAUUUGGAGGCUUACCAUAAAGUUUCUAGCAUCUGUCUUGGGUGUGUCUUGGCUUCUUACAAAAGGUACACCAUAAAGAAUCUUUGUUCUUCCCUUUGUCGAUCUCCAUCUUGGGGGCUACACCUCCAAGUUGAUUGGUCUGCCAUUGAUCAAUCUUCUUUCUCUUUUUGCAAUUAAGGUAGAACUUUCAGUGGAUUAGGGCUUCAUCAUCACCCCUCCUUACGUGAUUCUUCUGCUCGGAAGGCAGCCAUGGUUUCAUUGAGUGAGGAUAACUCCUUUCCUAGAACCAGAAUUCUUAUAGGAUCAAACUCACUAUUUAGCCUUGUCAAGAACUUAUAGAUUAUGCCCUUCUCCUUGUAACGUUUUAGUAAAUCAGCAUCUUUUGUGCAUGUUGCUUCAAAUAGUUCAUAAUGGUCUAACUCAAGCCAAAGCGUCUAUAGAGUCUGGGCAUAUUCACUAACGGAUCGGUCUCCUUGUUUGGUAGUCGUGAUCUUCAUCUUAAUUUCAUAAAUUUAAGCAGCAUCACCAACCUUGGAAUAGUUUUGUUCACAGCUCUCCCACACAUCCUUGGUGGUCUUCAUGAACAUGCAAGCAUCGCUCACCUCUGGCCCAUGGAAUUCUAUAGCCACAACAUCACUGCUACAUCUGCUUUAUCCCAUGUACCAAAGGUAUUGGCUGUGGAUUUUGGGGCAUCUUUCCCAGUAAGAUGAUUCAAUUUUCACCUCCCUUUUAGAAAGGUUUGGACAAAGUGAGAUCAUUUGAGGUGGUUUUUGCCAUUGAGAUGAAGGUUGGGUUAAAUAUUUUGCAGCUCAAUAGUGUUGGUAUUUUCGACUUCGGUGGGGUUAUUGGUUGUUGUAGACAUUCUUAGUUUUGUUGGGUGAGAUUCAAAGGCAUAGAGGGUGUUUUAGGGCCGAAAAAAGGCAAUAUAAGUCGUCAAAGGGAGAGGAAGACGGCAAUGCAGGCCGUGCAACAGAAGAAAAAAUGUGUGGCAGUGUAGGCCACAUGUUUACAUAGGCUCCCACAGAUUUUUGAGCGCUAAUUCCAAGUCAAAGGAUAAUUUUAUGAUUAUAUUGAUAGAAGAGCAUGUGCUCUUAAAUAGAAUACAUGGUAAUCUAAAAAGGGGAACUCCUAAUGGUCAUCAUUGUACCCGCUGCCAAUUCUUAUAAUUAAGGGUCAAUGAUUCCUGGUCAUAUAUAGAAAAUAUCCAGUUGAUCAAAUCUCCUAAUUACGGGAUUUAAAUCCUAUAUAUAAAAGGAAAUAAAAUAUAUGGUGAGAUUUGACAGGGAGAUAUUGUAAGAAAUGAAUCUAUUUAAUAAAUAUGAAAGAGAUAUUUAUUAAUUUCUCUAGUUCUUUAUAUAAGAAAUAAAGUACAUUUUUACUUCACAAAAAAAAUAAUGCAUUUUUUUGUCUAAGUAAUAAUUGAUAUUUGAUGAUUCUCUUCUUUUUUUUUUACCUUUAUAUGAAUCAUUAUCAUAAAAAAAAUACAAGAAACAUAUGAUCACUUACUAAUGUAUUGAUUUUUAUUUUUAUUUAAUAUAUAUUUUUAAUUUAUUAUUAAGUCUAUUAACGAGAUAUCAUCAUUUCCUAUGAAGGUGGAUGCAUACUUCAAAUAUCUUCUUAAUAAAUAUUGUUCAAUUGUUCAGUUUCAUUAAAUAAAAGUAAAUACAAUUAAGAUAAAAUUAUGACAUAAGUUAGAUAGAAAAAAUCAACGAAAAUUGUCAUAUUCUCUAAUAGACGUUUGUGCCUAUUUUUGGUGUUAAAUAAAAAAAUUCAAAUAAAAACACUCAAUCCCUAUUAACAAUACAAGUCACACUUAUUGGUGGAAAAAAUAUCCAUUAAAUUAUGUAUAGUGUCAUUAAAUAUUAAUACUUGUACUUACUAAAAUCUGGAAUUGGUCGACGUCAGGGUGGACGUGGCCAAGGUGAGUUUCAUGAUCUCGCAGGUUGGACUGAGAGUAUCCUUUUUAAGGAGAACAAGAGGGGAGACUUGUAAAACAAAUGAUUCUAACGCUCAAGUAAGUAUGUGAGUUAGGUGAGAGUGAGUGAUGAAAAGGAUGAGAUAGAACCUGGUACUUGUAGAGUGGAGUCGGAGCUGCAGGUCCUUGUUUGUAAGGACUGUUACGAUUUUGUGACAAUCCUUACAGAUAAUUACUAGCUUGUAGAUAAUAGCUAAUAGAUGAUUGUAGCUUAUAGAUCAUGUGUACCUUAUAAAUAAUUGAAUACCUGACACGUGAUAAGAAUGUUACAACAUAUUCAAAUAAUGAAGUGGUUAGAGAUAAUUUGUCGGUUUAGGAGUCUGACUACUAAGGACGAGACGUUCAUGCUCCUGUGACAGGGCUGACAUGGAGGAUUGACGUGUGUAUUGGAGUGUCACGUAGCUUGUCACAUAUAUUUUGUAGACCUCGAACAUUACAAUACUAUUACUUUAAUCAUUUGUUUUUAUGAGUAUUUUUAGAAUAAAAUUUAAAUUAUGACAUUAUCAAUUAAAAUUAACUAAGUUACCUAUUUUUAAUGGUCUGUUUGAAUUAGUCAUAUGUUUCUCAUAUAAAGAUUAUGUUUGGUAAGAUAUUUCACCAAGUUUUUAACUUUUUUAUAUUUUUUUCAAUUUUUAUCCUUAAUAUAUCUUAUUGAAUCAUAAGUGUUUGAUAAAAAUAUCGGUUGAAGUAGUUGAUAAAUGUAAUAUUACAUAAAAGGUAAAAAUAAUAAAAUUUUACCUUAAAUAAAAAAUGUUUAAGGACAAAAAGGAAGUAAAUAUAAAAAGUUAGGAACUAUAGAAGCUAGUGUUUUAAAAAUAUUAUUUUAAGUAGCAUUUUAAAAAAACACUAAAAACUACUUAAAAACUUAGUUUAUUAAACUGUCAAACAAGCUUUUUAAUUAAUAAAAAAAGAUAGAAGUUAACUUGAAAUAUUUUGUUAAAAAAAUCAUAGUAUUUUGAUUGGGGUGAACCUAUUGAUUUAUAUAAGGAAAAGAUGCUCCCUUUGUUUCAAAAUAAUUUUGUCACAAAUAAAUAAAUCAGGUUACAUAGCAAGAUAAAUGUGUUUGUCAAUCGCACAUCCUUAGAUCCUUCAAAAAGACUCAUCUUUUCCUGCAAAACCUGAAACUCAAGCGAGAGUACAAAAUGUCAAAACCUUUAAUAUCGUAUCAAACAAAUCCUAAGAUUUCUAUAAUGUCCUAUGAAAGAAUAAAAAAAAUAUUAAUUAAAAAUUAAAAUAGAUUGGCAAUGAGAAGCAUCGGACAAAUAUGAAGAAAAAAAUGUAAGCAGUCAACUAAGAAAAAGAUCCCAACAAUUUCAUUGUUUCUUCUUCUGUUCAAUUAUGAUAACAAAAUUAUUAAAAGAAAGAAAUAAAUUAGAUCUAUCGUUUUUCUAUUAGAUAACAAAAAGAGAGACAAAAUAAAAGAACAAUUUGCAAAUAUAAAAAAUCAAUUAGUAAAUCUGAAACAUCUAUGUCUUUAUCAUCCAUUGAUCUUGUAUGACGAUAAAGGCUUCUUAGACAAAUCUAGUUUUUUGUUUCUCUCCAAUGCAUAAUGUUUCCAUCUUUCUCUCCCUUUACUCAUGUGCACAACAUAAUGCUAAUAGGUUAAAUAAGUGAAUCUCAACGGAAAAAUUAUUAAAAAAACAUCAAAUUAGUUGAAAGGAAUAUGUUAGUGUUACCAAAAGAGUCGAAUAGGAGAGGAUCAAAAGAGAAUGAAAUGACAUCAUAUCAUAAAAAAAUGAAAGCAUACCAUAGAGUUGGGAAGAAGAAGAGGAAUAAGAGGUGUGAAAAUGGGAGAGGAAGAGUGUAUGGUAUGAACUUUCAUUUGCAAUUUGAAUUUAAAAGAAAAAUAAUGAAAGUGUACAUAAGUCAUUGCACCAAAAUUUAAUUUUUUUAAUUGUGACAUCAAUUUAAUUAAUAUUGAUAUACUUAUAAAUUGAUUUAAUUAUGACAUCGAUUUUAGUAAAAGUGUUCUAAAUUAUUUUUAAAAAAAUUAUUAAAAAUUUGAUUGCUAUCAAUCAAUUUUAACAAUCAUUAUUAUUAUUAUUAUUAUUAUUAUUAUUAUUAUAUUUAUAUAUUGUGAAAUUUUUUUAGAUAUUUUAAAUAUAAUUAAGGAUGUAUGAAUUGUUAUAAUAACGAUGACAAAAUUACAAUAGAAUAGAAUUAUAAUAUAACUAUAAGUAUUCAAGGUAUUUUAAAUACAAUUAAGGAUGUAACUUCAUAAAAAAUUAGUGGUUUGAAUUGAUAGUCAUUAAUUAUAAAAUAUGUUUUAUAAUAAUUAUUAAUUACUUUAAUUACAAUAAUAUAAAAAAAUUUCUGUUAUAAAUUCUAUAAUUUGCUAGAUCUCUUCUCCUGUUAUAGAAUUGGUGAGGAUUAGAGACUUAAAAGGAUAUAUGUGAUCGUGUAAUUAUAUUCCUACCAAUUUAUUUAAUAAUUAGAGGUUGAAUAUGACUUUUUUAUUUUUUAUUUUCAUAAUUUUUUAUUGAUUUAAUUUGAACUUUAUAGAAUUAAUAUUUAUAAUAUAUUAGUCAAUUAUAAAAUUAGAUGAUUACGACGAUUAUAAAUUAAUUCAUAUAUUGUAAUCAAUUAAUAAUUAAUUUGUUUAAUUAUGUCAUUUGGAUUGGUACUCAUUAACUAUAUAUAAAUCAAUUUUUUAAUUUAAAAUUAAAAUUAACAAAGAAUUAAUUACUUACAAUUCUGAAAAAUGACAUGUGUCAAUAUUCCUUUCAAAAAAUAUUGCUGUAUGUAUUUAUUAUAUUACUAUAAUAUUAACUAUAUAAAUCAAUUUUUAAUUUAAAAUUAAAAUUAAAAAAGAAUGAUUUGCUUACAAUUCUAAAAAAUACAGCGUGCCCAUAUUCCUUUUUGAAAAUAUUCUUGUACUAUAUCUAUUAUAGAUUAAUGAUAUGCAACCAAACUUAAAUUAAUAAUAAUAAGGUUAUUUUAGGUUUUCUUAUUAUGUAUAAAAAAAACAUCUAAGACAACAAUUAUCAACAAUAGAGGAAACAAUAAACAUUAUUUUGAAAGAAUUAUUAGCAAUAUUAUUAAUGUAAAUUAGAUUAAAAUAAGUUGCACUACACAAGAUCCAUCCUCCAUAAGCUGCGUGAUUAACAGCAUUAUAGUAUGCACGCGGUGCAUGCACAUGCACAUGCACGAUAACAUAGCUGCGCGCGCACAAUACGAGUGCUCUCCGUCUAUAACAACAACCCUAGGGAUCAUUUUGCGUUCUUGUUUCUUGAGGAGAAAUUCUCUGAUCCGAGAUCUCUUUUAACACUGGCAUAUCACUGAAUGUGAACUCCGAAAACCCCGACAUUUCUUUGUCACCAUUAUGGAUGUUCGAUUCCCUUUCUCUCCGGCUGAGGUCGCCAAAGUCCGCAUGGUUCAGUUUGGAAUUCUCAUUCCUGACGAGAUUGUUAUUUAUAUGAUUAUUUCUCCGUGUCGGAAAUUCUCAAAUCGAAAUGGAAUAGUCUUUCUUUCCAGUUUUAUGGUUUGGUUAAUUUAUUGUCCCCCCAUACUAUGAUGCACGAAUACCAUACGCAUACAAUAUGAUAAAUAUACAACUACAAUUAUGCAAAUUUAAAUUAAGAAUAUACUUCUUGAACA
Molecule: long non-coding RNA, 18289 nt
Filed under: Glycine max (soybean)
Lineage: Eukaryota; Viridiplantae; Streptophyta; Magnoliopsida; Fabales; Fabaceae
Description: long non-coding RNA (GMAX_LNC004207)
Source: RNAcentral